UAGAGACGAGAAGGUCAGGAAUGGUCUGGUUUUGGAGCAAAUAUGGGCCAUGGCUUAAGUCUUCAGAGUGUGAACACAGCGGAACGGAGCUGGAGAAGCAAGGAGAGCUCAAGUCGGCGGAGCACGUAAACAGGUCUGUUGAAGGUUGAGCCUUGAAAGCUUGAAUAAACAUGGCUUGGGGUGAAAGGGGAGAGAGUAUAGGCCGUCCAUGGCCAGAGAAGCCAUGAACCUCGGUGUAUUUUGAUCGGAGAUGAAGGUGGGCUGCUAGGGGUUAAAGAGAGUUUGAGAGGAGAUGGAAUUUAGGGGCGGC
This 310-nucleotide long non-coding RNA is filed under the name Nicotiana benthamiana. RNAcentral's name for it is "long non-coding RNA (NBEN_LNC014826)". The record is from RNAcentral. Lineage: Eukaryota; Viridiplantae; Streptophyta; Magnoliopsida; Solanales; Solanaceae.